RNAcentral lists this unclassified non-coding RNA (378 nucleotides) under plant metagenome. Its description in RNAcentral is "partial contains 5.8S ribosomal RNA, internal transcribed spacer 2, and large subunit ribosomal RNA". The stretch from base 1 to 105 matches the Rfam family "5.8S ribosomal RNA", at positions 50 to 154 of the family's 154-position model. The record is from RNAcentral.
GAAAUGCGAUAAGUAAUGUGAAUUGCAGAAUUCAGUGAAUCAUCGAAUCUUUGAACGCACCUUGCGCUCCUUGGUAUUCCUUGGAGCAUGCCUGUUUGAGUAUCAUGGAAUCUUCAAAGUAAAUCUUUUGUUAACUCAAUUGGUUUCUACUUUGGUAUUGGAGGUCUUUGCAGCUUCACACCUGCUCCUCUUUGUUCAUUAGCUGGAUCUCAGUGUUAUGCUUGGUUCCACUCGGCGUGAUAAGUUAUCUAUCGCUGAGGACACUGUAAAAGGUUGCCAAGGUAAAUGCAGAUGAACCGCUUCUAAUAGUCCAUUGACUUGGACAAUACUUUUAUGAUCUGAUCUCAAAUCAGGUAGGACUACCCGCUGAACUUAAGC